GGAUGUGAGGGUGAUCUGGCUGCGACAUCUGUCACCCACUGAUCGCCAGGGUUGAUUUGGCUGAUCUGGCUGGCUAGGCAGGUGUCCCCUUCCUCCCUCACCGCUCCAUGUGCAUCCCUCCCAAAGCUGCGCGCUCAGUCGAAGAGGACGACCAUCCCCGAUAGAGGAGGACCAGUCUUCGGUCAAGGGUAUACGAGUAGCUGCGCUCCCCUGCUAGAACCUCCAAACAAGCUCUCAAGGUCUAAUCAUUGGCUUAACCAAACAAAAAAAGUAGAGAUCCUAGAUGAGGCAGGUAUGCCAAGACAG
This 306-nucleotide small nuclear RNA is filed under the name Cebus imitator (Panamanian white-faced capuchin). RNAcentral's name for it is "7SK RNA (ENSCCAG00000010693.1)". It matches the Rfam family "7SK RNA", at positions 1 to 276 of the family's 331-position model. Rfam says of the family: 7SK was discovered as an abundant small nuclear RNA in the mid-70s but a possible function has only recently been suggested. The record is from Rfam by way of RNAcentral. Lineage: Eukaryota; Metazoa; Chordata; Mammalia; Primates; Cebidae.